RNAcentral lists this long non-coding RNA (768 nucleotides) under Ananas comosus (pineapple). RNAcentral describes it as "long non-coding RNA (ACOM_LNC004791)". Lineage: Eukaryota; Viridiplantae; Streptophyta; Magnoliopsida; Poales; Bromeliaceae. The record is from RNAcentral.
GAGUUGAGCUGGAAUGCUAUUGGUAGUAAAUGGGGGGCUUCGUUACCAUCCAUUUAUUUACAAUGAUCGGCGCCGUUGAAUAUAAUUUAUACUAUUUGAAAUAUCUAGAAAUAAAAUUUUAAAUUUUUUAGACAUCAUUGGCCUAAUGAUCAAAGAGUUUCAAAAUUUAUAAUUUUAACGGUCGAUAUGAAACGUUUUUCGUUUAACAGCGUAAAGAUAUUCAAAUCAAUUGCGUUUUAGUUAGAAAAUUCUUUAAACUAUUUAGAACAAGAUCUAUACUCUUGAUCUUAAUUACAAUACUCUUAUCGUUACUCUUUAAAAGAUAUUCAUUUUCGGCCGUUCAUUUUUGUGUCCACUUGAUACAUAAGAGAACGAUAUCGAAAAAGUACGAAAUUUGAUUUCUAAAUGUUUCAAGUGGUGUAGAUUAUGUUCAAUAGCGCUGAUCAUCGAUUUGGAGACUCGAUCACCGAAAACAAAUAAAUGGCAAUAGAGCCUGUUUGCUAUCGGUAACAUUCCAGCUCAACUUUCUCUCUCUCUCUCUCUCUCUCUCUCUACAUAUAUANAGCCCUUGGAUGGAGAGAUGUGAGGUUGAGAUGAUGGGGAUAGGUGGUGGUAGGUGGUGGUAGGUGGAAUAGUGUUUGAUUCAAGGGCUAUUUGUAAUCAAAAAGUAGAUCCAAUGGCUAAAAACGUGAUAGCAACAUGAAGAUGAUACUUGUAAAAGUAUCCUAGAUCAAUUAUAUAUAUAUAUAUAUAUAUAUAUAUAGAAUA